This 1333-nucleotide long non-coding RNA is filed under the name Bos indicus x Bos taurus (hybrid cattle). RNAcentral describes it as "lncRNA (ENSBIXG00005001697.1)". Lineage: Eukaryota; Metazoa; Chordata; Mammalia; Artiodactyla; Bovidae. The record is from RNAcentral.
AUGCCGCUCCGCCCGCGCUGCGUCCCCGCGUGCGCGCCGGGUUAUCCGGUCUUUGAGCAUGGCAGAUUUUCACUAGAUGACAUCAUGGGAGCUAGCGAGUGCCGGCUCCACAAGGGGGACGGAGAAGGGGAGGGAGAAGGGGAGGGGAGAGGCUGGGAAGCCGCGCCAGAGCCGUUGCCUGCCGCCCGCCGUCCUUCCGCCAGCCCGGGAGGAGCGCUCCGCUGGUUACUGACAAAGGAUGGGAGGAUGACUGCGCCCCGAGAUGAGCGUUGUGCGCAGCCCGGCGGCCGCCUGAGCAGCUUCGCCCUUCGCCGCAGGGGACCAGAUGUCUGAGAAGCCUUCUGACCCUGGAAGUAUGGCAAGUGGGCAUCUGCUGUGUUAAACAUAUUGCAAAACUUGAAAAAAAAAAAAAAAAAAAAGAUUUUAUUUUUCCCAUUUGGAUAAAGCUUGUAGUUUUAUCUUGUAAGAAAAAGCCAUUGAGAGGAAAGCCAGGGGUUCUGCUGGGUCACAAAGUCUUCAUUAUGAUGCUCUCAGUAAUGACCACACAGGACAGUUAAUGAGUUGACCUGGGGUGUAUGGUACAGCAAUUGAUACCUGAUAUCUGCCUGGGUUGCUGAUCACAUGGAUGGUUCUGGGAUGCUGAUCACAUGGAUGGUCCUGGGAUCCUGCUGAUAUUGGCUGCUAAAAUAUGCCACUCUCUGAACUAAUGCCAUCUUUAAUUAAAGUCUUUAUCAAUGGUUCUCAGAUUUUGGUGUGAAUCACAAAUACCUGUAUAAUAGCUAAAGAUCCAGAUUCUUGGGUUCCACUGACAGAAAGUUUGACAUUUUGAGUGAGAGGAACAAUCUAUCACUUUUCUAGUGGUUUGUGUCUCCCAGAGAGAGGGACUUCCAGCUACAAUGUAAGCACCUAUGUUGUAGUACUAUUUGUACCUGUGAAGCUAUUAAGAAAGAAAAAAACAGGCAUUAUUAUAGCUAUGAUCUCGCUAUAAGAAGAAAAAUGAAGCUCUAGAUGGCCCCUUAUUUAUUUCAAAGCACAACUAGUACAUUGAAAUUGCAGCAUAAAUAAUUUGAAUGUUCUGUGGCUGGUACAGCUGGUUAAACUGUAUAUUCACAAUGCAUAGACUAUGGACUUCCAUAAUUUACUUAAAGUGUACCAGAAAUAAGAACUUCAGAGAGACUCUUUCUUCUCCAUAGAAGCAGCAGCUAAAGUAUGUAUCUUGGUAUAUAUCAGAAGUAGUAACUUGAUUGAAGGAUUUCACUUCAGACAGGUCUGAUGAAGUUCAAAGCUUUUAAAUACAUCAGAAAAGAAUAUUGAAAACAGUGGCAAAUGAGAG